RNAcentral lists this ribosomal RNA (395 nucleotides) under Ehrlichia canis. RNAcentral describes it as "bacterial SSU rRNA". It matches the Rfam family "Bacterial small subunit ribosomal RNA", at positions 61 to 484 of the family's 1533-position model. The record is from RNAcentral. Lineage: Bacteria; Pseudomonadati; Pseudomonadota; Alphaproteobacteria; Rickettsiales; Anaplasmataceae.
GUCAAUUAUUUAUAGCCUCUGGCUAUAGGAAAUUGUUAGUGGCAGACGGGUGAGUAAUGCGUAGGAAUCUACCUAGUAGUACGGAAUAGCCAUUAGAAAUGGUGGGUAAUACUGUAUAAUCCCCGAGGGGGAAAGAUUUAUCGCUAUUAGAUGAGCCUACGUUAGAUUAGCUAGUUGGUGAGGUAAUGGCUUACCAAGGCUAUGAUCUAUAGCUGGUCUGAGAGGACGAUCAGCCACACUGGAACUGAGAUACGGUCCAGACUCCUACGGGAGGCAGCAGUGGGGAAUAUUGGACAAUGGGCGAAAGCCUUGAUCCAAGCUAUGCCGCGUGACGUGAAGAAGGCCUUCGGGUUGUAAAACUCUUUCAAUAGGGAAGAUAAUGACGGUACCUAUAA